AGACAGAGACAGACAGACAGACAGAUGCGUGAGAGAGAUACAGACAGACAGACAGACGAGUGAGAGAGAGAGAGAGAGUGAGAGAGAGACAGAUGAGUGAGAGAGAGAGAGACAGACAGAUGAGUGAGAGAGAGACAGAGAGUGACAGAGGGAAACAGCUUGUAAGGCAAAUUGAACAGAACCACUGAAGCAAGUAAGAUCCAAGUGUUUUCCAAAUAUGUCCUUAUUGGCUCACGAACUCAUGAGCUGCAACAAGAGACCAACCAAACGUCUCCUAAUCCAGGUGGUGUGACUGUCAUGUACAUGUGUCACUGUUCCCAUGGCGAUGUGUGCAACAGGCCUCAGCAUAUCACUAAGUCCGUGGCCCAAAUGGCACUACUUCCCAGGUCAAAAGUAGUGCACUAAAUAUGGAGUGACCCAAAUGGCACUACAUCCCAGGUCAAAAGUAGUGCACUAAAUAUGGAGUGACCCAAAUGGCACUACAUCCCAGGUCAAAAGUAGUGCACUAAAUAUGGAAUAGGGUGCCAUUUGGCACUCCGUUUUAAGAUUAAAAUCAAUGGAUCUCCGAAGAACAGAAACAGAUUAUAAAGCAAGUUGGAGGAAAACUGGGGACACCUAAUUAAGAUGUAGCCAGGGCAAACCACAUACAAAAUGUCAGGGUGAUGUCGGCUCUAGAUAAAGCUCAGGGAUAGAAUUAGACUGAAUUAAACUGAAUUAAACUGAAUUAAACUGAAUUAAACAUUCAUUCACGUGGGUUCUAUUCAACUCAUGAGAUAUGAAAAGUUUAAAGACAACAUCGAUAUUUGUUGAUAAUGUUGAAAAACAACAGAGAAGGCUUGUGUAUCUCAAAGCAUAGAAUUCAAGAUGAAUAUUGCUCUCCAAACAGUUACAAAUAACUCUGAUAUACAGUGGUGUUUGAUUUAACACAGAGCCUUCAGAAAGCAUUCAACACCCUUGACUUGACAUGUUGUGCCACAGAUCUACACACAAUACCCCAUAAUUCCCGGGUGGCGCAGUGGUUAAGGGCGCUGUACUGCAGCGCCAGCUGUGCCACCAGAGACUCUGGGUUCGCUCCGGGUUAGGGAGGGCUUGGCCGGUAGGGAUGUCCUUGUCUCAUCGCGCACCAGCGACUCCUGUGGCGGGCCGGGCGCAGUGCGCGCGAACCAAGGUUGCCAGGUGCACGGUGUUUCCUCCGACACAUUGGUGCGGCUGGCUUCCGGGUUGGAUGGGCGCUGUGUUAAGAACCAGUGCGGCUUGGUUGGGUUGUGUAUGGAGGACGCAUGACUUUCAACCUUCGUCUCUCCCGAGCCCGUACAGGAGCAGCGAUGAGACAAGGAUACUGGAGUGAUGGAGGUAGAUAUGUAUAGGGGGAGGAGACAGGGAUACUGGA
This is a long non-coding RNA of Oncorhynchus tshawytscha (Chinook salmon), 1390 nucleotides long. Lineage: Eukaryota; Metazoa; Chordata; Actinopteri; Salmoniformes; Salmonidae. The record is from Ensembl.